GCUAAAAACCUAGCCCCUCCUCCCCCCCCCCCCAUGAACCUAAAGAAUUAAAUUCAUUAAUUAAAACAUUCUCAUGUAUUAGUAAAGGCGAUUGAAAAUUAAUAAGAGCUAUAGAAAUAGUACCGCAAGGGAAAGGUGAAAUAAAAAUGAAAUAAAUUUUAAGCACAGUAAAGUAGAGAUUAACCCUCGUACCUUUUGCAUCAUGGUUUAAUUAGUCUAAUCAAGCAAAACGACUUAUAGUUUGACUUCCCGAAACCAAGCGAGCUACUUCAGGGCAGCUUUUAUGAGCAAACCCGUCUCUGUUGCAAAAGAGUGGGAAGACCCUUAAGUAGCGGUGACAGACCUAACGAGCUUGGUGAUAGCUGGUUACUCAAGAAAAGAAUUUUAGUUCGACCUAAAGAUUAACAAAUAAUUUUAAAUAAACUUCUUUAGAGCAAUUCAAAUAAGGUACAGCUUGUUUGAAACAGGAUACAACCUAGACCGAAGGGUAAUUAUUUCUUUUAAUAAUAAAGUAGGCUUAAGAGCAGCCAUCUUUAAAAUAGCGUCAAAGCUUUAUUAUAUAAAUGCCCAAUACCAUAAAUUAUCUAAAACCCUCCACCAUUAUUGAGUACUUCUAUAUUCUUAUAGAAUUUUUGAUGUUAAAACUAGUAACAAGGAGAAGACCUCCUCUUAAUGCAAGUGUAAAUCAUAAAGGACACACCAAUGACUAUUAACAUCCAUGAAAACAAAUUAGCAACUCCGCAAGAAAAGCCUACUUUAUAUUAUGUUAAUCUAACACAAGAGCAUUACAAGAAAGAUUAAAAGAAAAAGAAGGAACUCGGCAAAAAUUAACCUCGCCUGUUUACCAAAAACAUCGCCUCUUGACUAAAUAUAAGAGGUCCAGCCUGCCCAGUGACUCUGUUCAACGGCCGCGGUAUCCUAACCGUGCGAAGGUAGCGUAAUCACUUGUCCUUUAAAUGGGGACUAGUAUGAACGGCAUCACGAAGGUUACACUGUCUCCUUUUUCCAAUCAGUGAAUCUAAUCUCCCCGUGAAGAAGCGGGGAUAAAACUAUAAGACGAGAAGACCCUAUGGAGCUUUAAACUAAGUAACAAUUGCUUAUAUAUUUCCUCAUUUCAGAAUAUCUACACUUAUACUAGCUACAUGUCUACUAGUUUUAGGUUGGGGUGACCGCGGAGUAAAAAAUAACCUCCACAUUGAAUGGAACUUGAUUCCUGAGUUACGGGCUACAACCCUAAACACCAAUAAAUUGACAUCAAUUGACCCAAUACUUUGAUCAACGAACCAAGUUACCCUAGGGAUAACAGCGCAAUCCACUUUAAGAGCUCCUAUCGACAAGUGGGUUUACGACCUCGAUGUUGGAUCAGGGUAUCCCAGUGGUGCAGCCGCUACUAAAGGUUCGUUUGUUCAACGAUUAAAACCCU
RNAcentral lists this ribosomal RNA (1423 nucleotides) under Atlantihyla panchoi. RNAcentral's name for it is "partial 16S ribosomal RNA". It matches the Rfam family "Bacterial large subunit ribosomal RNA", at positions 378 to 2597 of the family's 2925-position model. Lineage: Eukaryota; Metazoa; Chordata; Amphibia; Anura; Hylidae. The record is from RNAcentral.